UGGAAGAAUGUGUGGGGAGGUUGGCUGGGGCCAGGCCCGGGCAUGGCCUGGGGUGGAGACAGCCUUGGGCCGGGAUCAGGGACCUAGGAAGGAUCUAGUCCUCGCCACAUCACUCGCUCACUGGGUGACCUCGAGAUCCCUGAGUUCACAGCAUGCCCUCCAGAAGGACCCAAGGAAUGGCCUCAUGGCCCCAGCUGACUUCUGCAGCCAAGCGAGGAAAGCCAAAGGGACCAAACCAGGACCCUGGCAACUUCUGUGGCAGGAAGCCCACAGACCCCAGCAUGAAUAGGCUCUGGGAUGGCGCCAACCAGAAACAUCUUGGAAGCAGCUUAGUGGAUGUUGUGGCGAAACCUGGAAGGAACACCAUCAUCUCUGGCCGGCCCCUCCCUGAGAACGCUGCCAUAACAAGUAGUUAUCCCCUUUGCUUUUUGUCUUUUUCUUUUCUAAACAAGCUUAUUAAAGAUUACUUAACUGCAAAGUGAAACCAUCCCCAAGCUACUAAGUAGGCUGUGACUCAGUCCGUGAGACCACGGUGGCCUCUGGGCAGUCAUCCCUGUAGGAACAGGGAUGUCCACUUCUGGUGUGGGGUCCCAGCAGGUCACCUUUCCUCCAGCAGUGCCGUUGCCCUCACCUCGCGCAGUGUCAGAGCAGUGCUCUCACCCCAGCGUAUGAAGAUGCAGAUUCCAGUCUCAUCAACGCAGAACCUGCUCCGUCCACCACUCCCGUGGACACAGUUGGCCAAUCACCCAUGAGAUCAAGUUCCCCCCCCAGCUCUGGGGGCUGUCUUCCAUCUCUUGAUGAGUGAGUGAGGACACUGCUGGGCAGAGGAAGGCAAGGAAGGCCCAGUGGCUGCCCCUCUGUCCGGGGUCCUUGCAUUCUUCGCCACAAUCAUGGAUCAGGAAUUCCGUUCUAUGAUUUUAUGGAAAGACCUGAUGUCUCCUCGUUCCUGUAGGUGCCUGAGGGACUGUCAGUUAAAACCCUCACCCAAAUCCAGAGAUGACUAUGUUUGCCUGUCCACUGGCUACCAGGUUAGCAAUGAAA
Canis lupus familiaris (dog) is the source of this 1041-nucleotide long non-coding RNA. RefSeq lists it as uncharacterized. Lineage: Eukaryota; Metazoa; Chordata; Mammalia; Carnivora; Canidae. The record is from RefSeq and is a predicted model, not a curated record. The transcript has 3 exons.